RNAcentral lists this ribosomal RNA (253 nucleotides) under uncultured bacterium. RNAcentral's name for it is "partial 16S ribosomal RNA". It matches the Rfam family "Bacterial small subunit ribosomal RNA", at positions 524 to 776 of the family's 1533-position model. The record is from RNAcentral.
AACGUAGGACACAAGCGUUAUCCGGAGUUACUGGGCGUAAAGGGCGUGUAGGCGGAUCAAUAAGUCUAUUCUGAAAGCUCCUGGCUAAACUGGGAGAGGCGAAUGGAGACUGUUGGUCUAGAGUGAGGAAGAGGAAAGUGGAAUUCCGCGUGUAGUGGUGAAAUGCGUAGAGAUCCGGAGGAACACCAGUGGCGAAAGCGGCCACCUGGACUGCACCUGACGCUCAAACGCGAAAGCUAGGGGAGCGAACGGG